AACAACAACAAAAAGCCACCAUUUUGCUGCUUUACUCAUAUUUUCACCAGGAGGCAAGCAGGUGUGCUGAAUAUUUCCUGGCCUCUCCCCAGUCACGGUAGAUACCUCCACCACCCUUGCACAAAGUUGACUGUCAUUGACUCCACCCUGAGCCAGAUCUCAAAAUACCGCUGUGCCAGUCAGCGGAAAACCAGAGGAGUGUCCAUGAGCCCUGAAUCACUGAGAGACAAGAGGACAGAGUUCCAGAUGAGACACAUACAGU
This is a non-coding RNA of Odocoileus virginianus texanus, 262 nucleotides long. The record is from RefSeq and is a predicted model, not a curated record. Lineage: Eukaryota; Metazoa; Chordata; Mammalia; Artiodactyla; Cervidae.